RNAcentral lists this long non-coding RNA (746 nucleotides) under Gossypium barbadense (sea-island cotton). RNAcentral's name for it is "long non-coding RNA (GBAR_LNC015748)". Lineage: Eukaryota; Viridiplantae; Streptophyta; Magnoliopsida; Malvales; Malvaceae. The record is from RNAcentral.
AAACAUUGAAAUACAUUUUAUAUAAGAGAAAAUACCAUACAUAGUUGUAAUGCCGAAUUUCUGCCCGGGGCCCAAAUAACAAAACAAAAAUAAACCCAAAAAUAAAAAGUCCAUUUACAAACAAGCCCAAACAGCCCACAAAACUAAAAAAAAUUUUGCAGCAAAAAAAACCUAGCAGGAGCCUUCAGCGCCUCAAGCCCCUGCCCAAAGCCAUCAAGCCGCAAUCAACCUCUGGCCUCGCAUGCGCGCCACUGCCACUCGCACGAGCCUCCGUACGCACAAGUCCAUUGCUUCGUACAAAACCUGCAAAGGACAAAAACAAGCAACGCAACAGAAGCAGAAAAAAGAAAAACAAAAUAAGAAAAAACAAAAUUACAUUUUUUUUGUUUUGUAAUUUUCAUUUUAGUUUUGGCUAUAUAAAGCCAUUUUUCAGCGUUUUGUAAGGGAGACGAAGAUUGAAUGUAAAAACGUACAGGCACACUGAAAUACAAAGAAAUUGAAAAAAGAAAUAAGAAACCAGUUCGAAGAAGGUGAUUUGGAGUUUUUUCUUUCUCUCGUUUUUUUCAUUAGAGAUUCUUUGAUUUUUUUUUCCUUUUAUUUACUGUUGAAAAAGGAAACAAAGGAAGAGUGAGGAGUUUACCUUCGUUGCGGAGCCAAAUCCUUGUCUUCUCUGUCGUAAUCGGAGGUCGGGCGAGGGAUCAGAGAGUAUUUGAGGGAUCGGUCUGCGAAGCGGCGCUGAGGGUUAU